Molecule: long non-coding RNA, 3467 nt
Organism: Poecilia latipinna (sailfin molly)
Lineage: Eukaryota; Metazoa; Chordata; Actinopteri; Cyprinodontiformes; Poeciliidae
Exons: 2
Source: RefSeq, a predicted model, not a curated record
UGAGUAAGUUCAACCAACAGUCUUCAGAAAAUUCCUUUACACAUGCAAUUUCUUUAUCGUCAUGUUUACCGGAUGACGCCGAACUCAAAAACGGGCAUUCAUGCUGUUGUCCUUCAAACUCCUUGGCAACCUGAACGCCCUGCUUUGAAAUGACAACUGCACAGAGGCGUCCAGUCAGCACGGCCAGGGGGACAUGGGAGCCAAAGUCCAUAGAUGGAGCGUGGACAGUGGCAGCUGGUGAGCUGACAAAGCCCCAUUCAGAGGGCCCAGGCCUUGGGGACAAUGGCCCGGCCAGGCUGAGCCCUCUCCUCCACCAAAAGAUUAAUACUUCAGAUGGGCUUCCCGGUGGCAGGCAGGGGUAAAAGGGAGAGUCCUCCUGUUUGUCACCGGGCUUUGUGCAAGUUGCCUGAGAACCAACCUCUUGGAUGGGCUUGACAAAUGAGAGCCGCCAUUGACAGUGAACAGAUUGGGGCUGCCACUUUUGUUUUGAUUGUGGUGCCGGUAUAAUCAAGUUAUUUGGGCCUCCGGGAGUUUUUUGUUUCUUUCUCCCGACGCUCUUGACGCCUGAGUCCCACCUCAACAGCCCAUUGCUGACCCAGCUGUGGUCGGAGCGUCCUCCAGCUCCCCUCCUUCUCCUCCCUCUCCGUCCUCCCCCACUGUUUGUUGUUUCUGUUUGUCAAAGCCGUGGAGGAAGUGAAUUUACUUGGGUGUGGGAAUCUUUUCAGGCUUCCCACAUAAGGCGGCGCAGGUGCAACAGGUGUAGGUGUGUGCGUUCUUGUCACAGGAGAAGGUUAUUGUAAUGUUUUUCUAUGCCUAUGCUCCCCAUACACCUGACCUGGAUUGUUUGCAAAAGAGCAGCAGCUCGUACGGGGCACUACGGUAACCAGAAACCCUUUUCAGGUAAAGGUGCAGGCAGCUAACUUGUGCCUCCCACCCAAUCCAUUCUCUGAAACCCUGUCAGCGCAGCACAGGUGUUUAGCCCCCAGCAAGGCAGCAUUUCAGGUUAAACUGUAGGAACGCUGCCCCGCCUUUUUUGCACUGGGAACUGGAAGUGGGUGCAGAGCACACGACAUCGCACCUGCGCACCUGCGAGUGUGUUCUUGGCUACUGUUGAUCCCAUCACGUGACUUUGCAACAGGAAAUGUCGUGGCGGAGAAACUUUGCAGGGAAGAAAGCUGACAUUCAGCCGGCAUUUUACAUGCAAAUGCCAUUUUUCUGGGCCUCGUAGCCAAAUUCUACUAGCCUAACCCCCCCUCCACCCCUAUCUUCCCACCUCAAUGACAGAACUAUUGUUCUCCUGUACUGUCGCUGCAGGCCAUCUGUCCUGUCUGUCCCUGUGUUGUUUGCUAAGUAUCGAGCAGCCAUUCUCACGCAAAGGAAUGCGUCCUUCCUGUAAACAUACUGUACGUUGACCUCCCCUGCGAGCUCCAUAAGGUUCAUCCCUUAUCCUGUUCCCACCCAUCGGUACAUCGGCUUCUCAUCCACCUUCUAGCUUUGGUCUGGCAUCCCUCCUGCUCCCUCCUGCCAGUCUCCCCGUCUCCUUUUGGCUGCCCAGAGACGAUCCUCCUCUGGUUCCCACGUCCGGUAGACGAAUGUACCGUUAAGACAAGAGUCCUGCUUCUUUUUCUUGCAGAGGGCUCUCUGCCAGGAAUCUGCUUGUGUGAAUCUUUGAUGCGGCAGAAGGUGCCCUACUUUUAAACCUCAUUCUUCUUGCUUCUUGGAUUUUUUUAUUUCAUUUUUUUAAAACAAAGGGCAAAAGAGCCUGUGCGUGGGUCAGCGUGGGUGUGUGCAUCUAGGCUGGACACGUCGUGUGCAUGUGUGUGCGUGCACGUGAGGACCGGGCUUUGGGAUUAUAAAGAGGAAGUGAAUGGGAAGUACACACUCAGCGACAAAGUAAGAGGGAGACAUUCCUUUGCUGUCCCCCCUCUCCGUCCCUCCCCUCCCCGCUCCCUCUUUCUCCUCUCUCCCUCCACAGUGGCAGGGCCCUGGGAAAAUCAAACAGGUGGUUUGUGCCUGGCAGGAAAGCUGGCCGGGCCCGGGGUGGGCAGGCCUACAGGCUGCUGGGGGCUAUCAAAAGCUCUUAGCCCCAGCUUUAGGCCAGCGCCAUGAAUGGCCCCGGGCUUCAUUAUCAUGUGAAUUCUGGGAACUGCCCUGGGGCCCCAGUAACACCAGCGAGCUGCCCAUAUGCUGUUCGCUUGGCAACUACGGAGACCUCGGCUCUCCACCCGGGGGCCCCCACCCUUUCCUUCAGCUCUGUCUUUCUCUCUCUCUCUCUCUCUCUCCAUUCCAGCACUUCUGAUAUCAAGGAGAUGAAGGAGCAUCACUCCGCUCUUGGGGGGAGGAAGACAUGAAAGGGGGGGAGGAGGGGGGGGAGACCGGACCACACAGAGCAGCGCCCACCGGUCCUCAGGGACGCCGGGGGUGACACUGCUGCCCUGAAGGGCAACGCCAUUCUGUGCGCCCAACUCUGGGUGGAUUUAGCUAUUCAAUUACCAUUAGAGACUCAAUUUGAAAGCUGUCACGUUUGCAUCAGAAGGCCUGGGUUUUGACAGAUAAAGACGUCAACGCCCUUUCCGGCUUCUUCUUUCCACAUGCCAUCACAGGUUGUAGUUGUGUGUGUGUGUUUUUUUUUUUGACUGAAAUGGAAUUUAACUCUGAAUCACCGUCGUUAUUGCUCAAUCACAAACGAAACUCGUGAAAUUCAUCCAUGUACGUUUGUUUUGUUGCAACUCUAAAAAUUUCAGUGAGCGUUCACACGUUAGGCAGAUCCAAUGUCAGUGGCAAAACGUGCUCAACACUUUCUUUAAGUCCCAUUUGUCAUGUUUUGCAUCGGACCACGCCGCCUUGUAGCAGUAUUUAUUUAACUUUUCCACAUUUUGUCACAUUACAAACACUACAUGCAACAUAUAUUAAUGUGAUAAAUGUUUGCAAUCAUACUCCCGAAGACAUUUUUUCUGUUCUCUUUGGCCAACUCGGUGCAUAUCUGUGAAGUGAAUUAACCGUGUAAUGUGCAAAAACAACAAAGGUGUGCGCUCAGUUUUGUUUCCAUUAGCAACUAGACAAAAAGUCCACUUCCAGAAGAUAACUUGCAACUUGCAUUAGCAAUCAUCUCAGAAUCUGAUCGCUUCUGUUGGGCCAUUGUCACAUUUCUACUCGCCGAUCAGUCACAUUUCUUUGCUUUGCCUUCAGUGGCAGUAAGGCAUUCUUCAGGGCAGCGUUUCAGAAACCCUAAACAGGAUCCACGCAUCAGGUAAGGAACCCGAUGAGUCAUGCGGCUUUUCCUGGCUGAGGAUGAGGACACUUCUGCAGAGGAGAUGUCACUUAACAACUGAGCGGGAAUGCAGCAGGCGGCCCACCUGCGCCGCAGCAACAGGACCAAGAAGAGGAAGUGUGUGAGCGAUGUGUGUUUAAAAAAAAAAAAAAAGAAAAAAAAACGCCACAUGACCUCAUGCUGACGAGGAGUCUCU